UACUAUGAAAGACAAUUAAAACCAAAGCUUCUAUUAAUGCCGUCAAGGACCCUGUUUUCAUUGAACCGUUGAUCAUCCUAUCUUUCAACGCAGGUGAAAAAGGUUUUUGCUCAGACCUCAGGCUUCCGUCGUUCCAUUGUCAACUCAUUCAGGAGUGGAUCUGUAGUUACCGACAUGACCCUCGUGUUCGACAACCAAACUUCGGUUCCCAGCUCAAGCAACGCACAAGUAACUUUCACCAACAGUUCCACCUCCCUGAACAUUCUAUCAGGCAGCAUCAUUUUUGGGUCAUCAACCACAUCAGGAAGUGCUCCCCGACCCACUUCCUUCUCUCUGGCUGCCUUGCCUCUCAGUUUGGCUCUAUUAAUGGUACAGCUGCUGGCUAGCUAAUAGCCUGGGACAUAGCUGCUGUGGCUCUGCUAGCUACUAGGCUAGCUAAUAGCCUGGGGCAUAGCUGUUGUGGCUCUGCUAGCUGCUGGCUAACCAAUAGCCUGAGGCAUAGCUGAUGUGGCUGAUGAGGUUUAACCAAUCUACAGUUUCUCAUAGAUACAGCCUUAAAGCUAGAAUCCUUAGUUGCUACACCCAUUUUUUUACUUAUAAAUUAAUGAUAUGUACCCAUUGAUUCUAGAAGAAUAUAACAUAUGAAUACCUCAUGAGUCUGUCGUACCCCAUCAGAACCCAAAAUAUAAGCUUGUUUUACCCCAAUGUUUUCUAAACAAUGCAAACAAACACUGUUCAGCUUUAAACCAUGAUUAAAACUAUAAUUCUGAUAUCAUGGAUGGUCAGUCCUGGCAUCCAUAGGUCUGUCUAUGAAUUUGAGAGUGGUCACAUUUUUAUUACCAAAAAAAACAUAGAACAGGUGUUAAUUUGUUAUUAUUUCAGCUAAUAAGGACUCUAUCUUUAAGAUGCAUUAGCUGCUUAAAGCACAAAUUCAAUUUGAGAGUUAUUAUUUCAGUUAAUAAGGACUCUAUCUUUAAGAUGCAUUAGCUGCUUAAAGCACAAAUUCAAUUUGAGAGUUAUUAUUUCAGUUAAUAAGGACUCCAUCUUUAAGAUGCAUUAGCUGCUUAAAGCACAAAUUCAAUUUGAGAGUUAUUAUUUCCAUACCACUUCCUCGUUCUGAACUUCUAAUGCCAGUGGGUGUGGCUUCGUGACAGUGAUCAAGAGCAGCUGCUCACCGAUUGGACAGCUCCAAUGCAGUGACCCCUCCGACCAGGAUAUGCAUGUGUGGUCAGAACUGAUUUGAUUGAAGCGAGGCCCUUAUCUUUCAAAUUACUAUUAUUUAACACUUUACCAUAUAACAGACUAAAAUGAAUUAUGUAAAUUAUUAAUUUGCAGCAGGUACAAAGCAACUUGCACACUAUCAGUGAAUUUAAAAAAUAAUAAAAAACCUGAAAAAAUUACAAAAACUUUCCACAAUUUGUUUGCUUUUUAAAAACUCAAAUCAAUAUGAAAUAUGAAAUAUGAUCAAAUAAAACAUUUAAAAAUUUUAACUGACUAAAAUGUUUUAUUUGAUCAUAUUUCCCCCUUUAAUUAUUAACUGAUGCAAUUACAAUUCAAAUUCAUCAAGACCGGGAUGAUAUUUACUUUGAGUGAUUUUGGGCAUAUCACUGAAAAUGGGGACCACUUCAAUGUUUUAAACUGUUGUAGAGCCUCUCCAGGUUUGUACUUGUCUUGUUAUUAUUAAAUCUAAUAUAUUAUGCAACACUCGUAGAAUAUAGAUUUGUCCUUUUUUUUCAUUACUGGUUGAAUAUAAUGACAUUUUGGGUCGCAUGUAACGACAUCUCAAUAUCCUUCUAGGGGUACAUCUCAUUAAUCUAGUCUAAUAUCCUUCUAGGGGUACAUCUCAAUAAUCUAGUCUAAUAUCCUUCUAGGGGUACAUCUCAAUAAUCUGGUCUAAUAUCCUUCUAGGGGUACAUCUCAAUAAUCUGGUAUGAUAUCCUUCUAGGGGUACAUCUCAAUAAUCUAGUCUAAUAUCCUUCUAGGGGUACAUCUCAAUAAUCUGGUAUGAUAUCCUUCUAGGGGUACAUCUCAAUAAUCUGGUCUAAUAUCCUCCUAGGGGUACAUCUCAAUAAUCUAGUCUAAUAUCCUUCUAGGGUUACAUCUCAAUAGUGUGGUCUAAUAUCCUUCUAGGGGUACAUCUCAAUAAUCUAGUCUAAUAUCCUUCUAGGGGUACAUCUCAAUAAUCUAGUCUAAUAUCCUCCUAGGGGUACAUCUCAAUAGUGUGGUCUAAUAUCCUUCUAGGGGUACAUCUCAAUAAUCUAGUCUAAUAUCCUUCUAGGGGUACAUCUCAAUAAUCUAGUCUAAUAUCCUUCUAGGGGUACAUCUCAAUAAUCUAGUCUAAUAUCCUCCUAGGGGUACAUCUCAAUAAUCUGGUCUAAUAUCCUUCUAGGGGUACAUCUCAAUAAUCUAGUCUAAUAUCCUUCUAGGGGUACAUCUCAAUAAUCUGGUAUGAUAUCCUUCUAGGGGUACAUCUCAAUAAUCUGGUCUAAUAUCCUCCUAGGGGUACAUCUCAAUAAUCUAGUCUAAUAUCCUUCUAGGGUUACAUCUCAAUAGUGUGGUCUAAUAUCCUUCUAGGGGUACAUCUCAAUAAUCUAGUCUAAUAUCCUUCUAGGGGUACAUCUCAAUAAUCUGGUAUGAUAUCCUUCUAGGGGUACAUCUCAAUAAUCUAGUCUAAUAUCCUUCUAGGGGUACAUCUCAAUAAUCUAGUCUAAUAUCCUUCUAGGGGUACAUCUCAAUAAUCGAGUCUAAUAUCCUUCUAGGGGUACAUCUCAAUAGUGUGCUUAUAAUUUCAUUAUUCCAAUAUGUUUUCAUUAAUUGAAUUCACUUAUUCUAUUU
Oncorhynchus mykiss (rainbow trout) is the source of this 2835-nucleotide long non-coding RNA. The record is from Ensembl. NCBI's taxonomy places the organism in Eukaryota, Metazoa, Chordata, Actinopteri, Salmoniformes, Salmonidae.